This is a long non-coding RNA of Trachemys scripta elegans, 2380 nucleotides long. RefSeq lists it as uncharacterized. The transcript is spliced from 2 exons. NCBI's taxonomy places the organism in Eukaryota, Metazoa, Chordata, Testudines, Emydidae. The record is from RefSeq and is a predicted model, not a curated record.
GGGGUAUAUAUACACAUGUUUAGCAGUAAGUUAGUAUUUUUGGCACAGAAUAUGCUGAAUCUGCAUCCUUGCAUUAGAAAAAUUAAUCAACAAAUGCAUCCUAACACUGGGCAACUGUUAAUGGACUACAGUACAAAUUUGCAUUGCUGUUUUAAGAAAAAAAAUUCAACCUAUGGCAAAUCCAUUGCAAUAUGCUACUGCUUUUGUGGAGGUUUGUCCUAUACUUUGUUACCUGGUGCUUACUUUGUUAAUGGUUGUGCUCCUGUCUCCCCGUGAUGCUGAAAAGUGCUGUAUGUACUGCUGAAUGGCAUGUAAUGAUCUUUAAUAUUAUCCAAUGGCAUUAUGGAUAUUACAACUACUACUCAGCACUGAAAAAACUUUGUUUUCAAAGCACUGUACAAACAUGAACUAACCCAAAGUAAGUACAAAAGACCUAAAUGCUAGAGAAUGAAAAUCCAAUUCACAGUGAAAGAUGCAUUUUUCCACCCCAUGUUUCCUCCAUACAGAACAAUUGGGGGAAAUAGAAGACUGUAAAGCCACUCCUGUAGUAGCAGAGCAAUAUUAAUUGGGUAUAGUAGUCUUCACUUCCUAGUAAAGAGCUAGUGGAGUUUUGUGCUGUUUAGCAGCACGUGUCCCAUCCCAGAGGGAAGGGGUGAACUGAUUAAUUUAUGUUUUCAGUUGUAUGUGUGUACAGAUCUGUCUAAAUCCUAAGAUCUUAACUAUGAAAGGGGCAAGAGUGGACAUGCCAGGGGCUCUUGCUACUCCCAGUGACUUCUUACAGAUUUCCUAGGAAAGCAUGGCCAGAGGCUACGUAGAUUCAUACUCUCUAGGACUGGAAGGGACCUCGAGAGGUCAUCAAGUCGAGUCCCCUGCCCUCAUGCCCAUACAUUACUUGUCUGUAUCUGUCUCCUAAAGUAGGGGACAUUUUGGUGGGGGAAAGUAGUGCAUCUGCUAAAGAUUGCUGGGAGUGGGCAAAGUAACAGGUGGUUGAGAGAUGCUGUGAAGGCCUCUGUGAAGAUGGCCCUGUGCCCCCUUGCCAGAGAUCCCCAAACUCUACAUUUGUGGACCUCCCCCCGCAGUGUUUUCUGGCAAUGAGGGGGCCAGGCCCCACUCUCCCCAAAGGAAGAAUGCAGAAGAAACCAAGUGGAAUCUCAGAAAAGCUUGACAGUGUUUAGGCUGAUGGUGCAUUGAGACCUACCCUGUCAUGCUGACCACCAAUUCUGUCUCAUUGUUUCCUUGUACUCCCCCAUCUGCCUGUCUGUCUAUCCAUCUGUUGUCUUUUAGAUUGUAAGCGCUUUGGCAUAGGGACUAUCCUUUUGUUGAGUGUUUGUACAUCUCCUACCACAGUAUCCUGGUCCAUGACCGAGGUUCCUCAGCACUACGGUAAUACAGAUCAUAACCUUGUUGAGUAUUUGGCGCUUUACUUGGGCAUAGAAUUAUCACAUAGUGGAACUCUCAAGCUGUCUGUUUUUACUCCAUUGCAGUUUGCCUGAGUUAGGAUAUCAGAAUUUGGCCAACAAUUUAUAAGUGCUUUAUGACUGAGAAUCAAAGGUGCUAUAUAAACAUAAUGUAUCUAAAAGCAAUCUAUUAUCAAUUUCUCGGCAAUUUGAUUGUAGGUCUGCUGUUGUAUGUUCUCGACCAAAUGAAUGUGGAUCUCCCUGCUUCUUGAUGUAUUAUUCUGACCUCCAUGAUAGCAUAGCUGCUUUUCUCACCUACGAGGGAACAAAUGAAAUGCCCCAACACUGAUUCACUUCUCCACACUGUGAAGCCAACCUGAAAUAUACAAAGUAUGGAGGAAAUUGCAGUGACCAGAGAAUCUAGUUUAAUGGGCUGCUGUACAGGAAGACUUUGUUCUACGAUACAUUCUGGAAACAGCUGUCAAAUGUUACUUACAGAAUAACCUAAAUCUGAGUAGCUUUGUGUUUCACCGCAGUUCAAAGCCGUCACUGCUGUACCUUCAUCAGGCAACAGAGCAACCACGUAGUCACAAAUACUGGUACAUUUGUGUAUGGUACAAUAAAAGAGUGAGAAUCACAUUUCUCAUACUGGUCCUUCUUGUGCUUCAUUUUGGCUUUUAUCUGUACAGUAAUAUUCUUUGUGCUUAUUUGGUCCAUGCAAAGCAAUGUACUGUGUGCAUCACUUGUUAAAUAAAAAUGAAAUUCAAAUUAGAAGAGGACUUGUAUUUUAGAUAAUUUAGGAUUAAUAAAAUAGUAUCAUUUAAACUCUGAUAAUAGAAAUGAGUGGGUCUUGUGCUGUUUUUUCUGUGGGGUCCAUCCUCCUAACUUGAGACAAAAAUCUUAUUUACUUCAGUGCCUUUAAGCGAUGGUUGUUAGCAUCAAUAAUCUACAUACAGUACCUUUGUUGAGUUGUGAGCUGAAGU